UCCAGAGACGGUAUCUCGAGACAAUCCAGGUGACUAUGGACUUCUCCCCCACCAAGAGAUUAUUUCAAGACUGUUCAAGACUGCAGCUAAUUUACAACUGGGUUGAUCCUGAGAUGACACCAGCCCAUUCAUCAGAUGGGCAACAACUCAAGAUAAAUGAAGUUUCAGGGCAAAUGGUCACCUCUAAAUCUGGAAAGACAGGCAUACCCAGAGAGUCACAGCUGACAUCUGCUUAUGUGGAGCAAAUGCUGUUAAAGCUGUAAACUGGUCAGAAUAGCAAAAUGAUUCGAAUAAGCAAGAUAGCUUACUGGAGGACAGACGACCAUGCAGAGCAGAUACAAUAC
RNAcentral lists this long non-coding RNA (344 nucleotides) under Homo sapiens (human). RNAcentral's name for it is "HSALNT0311161". The record is from RNAcentral. Lineage: Eukaryota; Metazoa; Chordata; Mammalia; Primates; Hominidae.